CCAAUUAUCAUUUUAGAGACAGUUUAACAACUGCCUAACCAUCACCUGAUGGUCACCUGACAUUCUUGGGCUGGGAGUUCGCGGGGCUCUCCUGCUGUGCUCACCAUUGCCUAACUAUCUACUGUAACAAUACCACCUAGCAAAGCUGUGGCCGUGUCUUGCAGGAAGAAGCACAUGUUCUUCCUCCAGAGUCCAAUAUGAUGUCUAAAGCAGAUGUGUUCUGAACCCACCACUUGUCCAAUUUCAUCGUCUUCUUGGAUGAGGAGUUCUGUGGCUUAGAGGAGAAAAAGAAACCUUUUUCUCUACUCUCAGCAUGACCACCCUUGCAAGAUAUGAGACCCUCCACCUUACACUUGCCAC
This is a long non-coding RNA of Gorilla gorilla gorilla (western lowland gorilla), 360 nucleotides long. RefSeq lists it as uncharacterized. The record is from RefSeq and is a predicted model, not a curated record. The transcript has 3 exons. NCBI's taxonomy places the organism in Eukaryota, Metazoa, Chordata, Mammalia, Primates, Hominidae.